UUUCGAUGCUGCCUUGUUACCUACGGUACCAGGUAGAAAGUAUGUCAUCUCGUACCGUGAGUAAUAAAGCAUUCUCGGGAG
Molecule: microRNA precursor, 81 nt
Organism: Ciona intestinalis (vase tunicate)
Lineage: Eukaryota; Metazoa; Chordata; Ascidiacea; Phlebobranchia; Cionidae
Gene: cin-mir-126
Product: cin-mir-126
Source: Ensembl